GAGAGGAAAACGAAAGGAGGGAAGAAAUGUGUCGUUAGAGAAGAGAGAGAGCGAGCCAACAGUGGCAGCACUUAGUUAGCAGCUCUGGCAGAGAUUCACACACACACUGCUAAAAAUAAUCAACGUGUUAGGAUGACGUAUCGCUCUGCACAUCUGCACAGAAUCUGAAGAAAUCAGAGCGAAGGAUUUUAAAAUCUCGCUUCAUGGCGUCGCAGGAAGCAGGAAACUCCUCCUUUAACAGCAUGGACUCGAUGCGGACCGAGUAACUACACAGACAUUUGAAUAUCAGAGACAUGGAUCCUUACAGAUAUUUAAAGUCUACCUGCUCCGCUGGAAUCGUUUUCCAGAAGAAACUCCUCACCCUCUUCUUCUUCUUCAUCCCACCUGGAUUAUCUGCAGGCAGCAGAGGAGGAGGAGG
Long non-coding RNA from Xiphophorus hellerii (green swordtail), 418 nucleotides. RefSeq lists it as uncharacterized. Lineage: Eukaryota; Metazoa; Chordata; Actinopteri; Cyprinodontiformes; Poeciliidae. The record is from RefSeq and is a predicted model, not a curated record. The transcript is spliced from 3 exons.